GCGGUUCGGGCGGUAACAGGGNGAAGCUUGCUUCUCNGCUGACGAGCGGCGGACGGGUGAGUAAUGUAUGGGGAUCUGCCUGAUGGCGGGGGAUAACUACUGGAAACGGUAGCUAAUACCGCAUAAUGUCUUCGGACCAAAGCGGGGGACCUCCGGGCCUCGCGCCAUCAGAUGAACCCAUAUGGGAUUAGCUAGUAGGUGAGGUAACGGCUUACCUAGGCGACGAUCCCUAGCUGGUCUGAGAGGAUGAUCAGCCACACUGGGACUGAGACACGGCCCAGACUCCUACGGGAGGCAGCAGUGGGGAAUAUUGCACAAUGGGCGCAAGCCUGAUGCAGCCAUGCCGCGUGUAUGAAGAAGGCCUUCGGGUUGUAAAGUACUUUCAGUCGGGAGGAAGGUGUCAAGGUUAAUAACCUUGGCAAUUGACGUUACCACAAAGAAGCACCGGCUAACUCGUGCCAGCAGCGCGGUAAUACGGAGGGUGCAAGCUUAAUCGAAUUACUGGGCGUAAGCGCACGCAGCGGUGAUUGAUCAGAUGUGAAAUCCCGGGUACCCGGGAUUGCUCUAUACGGUCAGCUAGAGCUUGUGAGGGGGUAAAUUCCAGUGUACACUCAAUGUAAACAUUUUGACGUGUGCACUCGGGAUCUCUCCCCUGUAUGCUCCCGACUUUAUCUCAAAUCUUUUUUUUCUACGGGACGCCUCCUCGCUCUGUUUCCCCAAAUAUUUCCAUUUUCAGUUCUCCCAGAAAUUCUCCCCCUAAACAGACGUUUAUCACACUAAAAAAGUUUCCGGGGUGAGCCAGGGUAUUAAUUUGAAUGAUCACCACCGGGGGGCUUAGCCUAUAUUAAAAAAAGGUAGACCCCUUAAACGGGCGCAGAGAAUAAUAAACUUUUUCUCCCUAAGAAAUAUAAGGGGGUAUAAGCCCCCCCCCCC
RNAcentral lists this ribosomal RNA (933 nucleotides) under Morganella morganii. RNAcentral's name for it is "partial 16S ribosomal RNA". The stretch from base 1 to 731 matches the Rfam family "Bacterial small subunit ribosomal RNA". The record is from RNAcentral. Lineage: Bacteria; Pseudomonadati; Pseudomonadota; Gammaproteobacteria; Enterobacterales; Morganellaceae.